GGCGUGUGCUCACUCCACUUUAUGAGCAGCGCACACUGAAAACAGGAGGAAUCGAUUUUACCGUGGGGCUCGCGGUGCGGCAGUGUGGAGACCUGCCGUAAUGCGGAACGUUCCUUCAGCGGACGUCCGUGAGGGGAUCCGGCGUGGGCGGGGUCUUCAGAGUCAGGCUUAUG
This 173-nucleotide non-coding RNA is filed under the name uncultured Flexilinea sp. RNAcentral's name for it is "malK-I RNA". It matches the Rfam family "malK-I RNA". Lineage: Bacteria; Bacillati; Chloroflexota; Anaerolineae; Anaerolineales; Anaerolineaceae. The record is from RNAcentral.